UAUAUAUACACAUAGAAGGAAUGGUUAGAGUAAAAUCUGAAAUAGAUUACCUCUAAACCUAGUUAUAGAUGAUUCCCUGCUGUGUAAAGAAGUUAAGUAAAGGGUUCCUAUGAGCUGAAUUAGAGAACUAACUAGAUGUAUAUGUAUAUUGAUACUAUGCAUACAAAUUGAGUUAGUUAGCCUGGAGAAGAGUUAGAUAAAGAGUUCUUGGCUGCUAGGACUUGAAACUUGGUGAGUUGGUGGGCAGAUUAGUGUGUUUGGUCUUGUUGGAGCUGCCGAAAUGGGAAGCUCAACCUGGGAAGCUUCGAACCUGAGAAGAGGAAUUGUGAGCUGCUGCCUUGAUGCAAGUUCUGGGCGCCCGAAAUUGAAAAGGAAUUGAGGAGUUGGCAGCUUGCUGCCUGAUUGUGAUGGGAGGAGCAUCCGAAUUGAGGGGCCGGCAGUUGAAUCAUUGAAAUCUGAGGUCAGACGUGCUCGGAAGUUCGAAUUGAUAUUCCGACGGACCUACGAUGCGUGAAUUAAGAAAUGCUUCGUUCUAGCCCUAUUCGCAUCGAGUCGCAUAGACUAAUGUUUGUACGGUUCGUGACGUUGGUUCUAGUCUUUGACAUCACUACAGGUGGGUGGUGCUAUCCGAAGUCUUUGAAUCACCUUUUAUGUCUAUGGUUUUCCAUUGAGCAUAUUACUUGUAUUCAUGCAUCAUAGGGUAGUGAUAUUAUGCAAGUGAUAUUUGAAUAUGUGAAUGCUUAUCAAUGUUGAGAAAAUGUGAACUUAGAAUGUGGACAUGGAACCCUAUGAAUGUAUGGACUAUAGCAAUAGUAAACUUGGGGACAUUCAACUAGAGAUUUGGUUAGCAUCAAGAAAUGGAAUUGUGAAACUAGUAUAAAGAACUAGUUAGAGUAAAGUGUGACAGUGUUUGUCAGUUGAAUCCUCUAAAGGGGGAUCAGAUCAUACUCAC
Ananas comosus (pineapple) is the source of this 952-nucleotide long non-coding RNA. RefSeq lists it as uncharacterized. NCBI's taxonomy places the organism in Eukaryota, Viridiplantae, Streptophyta, Magnoliopsida, Poales, Bromeliaceae. The record is from RefSeq and is a predicted model, not a curated record. The transcript is spliced from 3 exons.